RNAcentral lists this non-coding RNA (172 nucleotides) under Deltaproteobacteria bacterium. Its description in RNAcentral is "6S RNA". It matches the Rfam family "6S / SsrS RNA". From Rfam's summary of the family: E. coli 6S RNA was the first non coding RNA to be sequenced, but its function was unknown until recently. The record is from RNAcentral. Lineage: Bacteria; Pseudomonadati; Myxococcota; Myxococcia.
AUGCCCCUGCGGUGUUCGUGAUGGGCCUGAUAAGCCUGAUCCAACACCCAAAAAGCGGGAAUCGCCCAUGCUUUCUGGCGAGCCUUUUAAAAGGCCCGAUGAAAGCAAUCUGAUGCCCACCUGUAAAACAGGUUCAAGGCUACCUGUCCACACGGCAUCUUGCGGGGGCCUU